AACGUUAAUCGGGGCAGGGUGAGUCGACCCCUAAGGCGAGGCCGAAAGGCGUAGUCGAUGGGAAACGGGUUAAUAUUCCCGUACUUGGUGUUACUGCGAAGGGGGGACGGAGAAGGCUAUGUUGGCCGGGCGACGGUUGUCCCGGUUUAAGCGUGUAGGUGUGUGUUCCAGGUAAAUCCGGUUCACUUUAACACUGAGGCGUGAUGACGAGGCACUACGGUGCUGAAGCAACAAAUGCCCUGCUUCCAGGAAAAGCCUCUAAGCAUCAGGUAACAUCAAAUCGUACCCCAAACCGACACAGGUGGUCAGGUAGAGAAUACCAAGGCGCUUGAGAGAACUCGGGUGAAGGAACUAGGCAAAAUGGUGCCGUAACUUCGGGAGAAGGCACGCUGACAC
This 396-nucleotide ribosomal RNA is filed under the name Salmonella enterica subsp. enterica serovar Kentucky. RNAcentral describes it as "partial 23S ribosomal RNA". It matches the Rfam family "Bacterial large subunit ribosomal RNA", at positions 1361 to 1757 of the family's 2925-position model. The record is from RNAcentral. Lineage: Bacteria; Pseudomonadati; Pseudomonadota; Gammaproteobacteria; Enterobacterales; Enterobacteriaceae.